Non-coding RNA from Plectropomus leopardus (leopard coralgrouper), 536 nucleotides. The record is from RefSeq and is a predicted model, not a curated record. Lineage: Eukaryota; Metazoa; Chordata; Actinopteri; Perciformes; Serranidae.
CUUUCGUGUUUUACGCCACGCACGAGUUUGUGUAGGGGCUCGAGUUACACAUCUGAAGACUGACGGAGGUUUUGUUCUGGUUUAUCAGAUUACACGAAGAAAGGUUUUGAAGUUAUCCGGUCUGGGCCGCUUUGCAGAAACAUCGCGCACUCAACACUUGUUGCUGUGUCGGUGACGGGCCGUUAUUCAGCUCUCUGGUCCCCGGGGUACAGCUGCUAAGACACGCCCCCCUCCACAUAUCCCCACGUGACUUCUGAGAGCUGUCGCUCGCGAGGUGUGCAAAGAGACGCUCGUGCACUGUUUGGGACAGGAGAUACUCUCAGUGUCCAUACUAUGGCUGAUGAAGGGCAUGAUGUCACCUUUGAGGUGGGGAGCGGCCAGCAGACGGCUUCACUGGGUUAUGACGAGGAGGCGUCUGUGUCCUCCACUGACCUCAGCUGCACAGUUGAUAAGUCAGUCGUUGACCCAUUAGCCCCCGCUGCCAGUUCCACCUUUAUCCAGUCCGACCAGAAGCCGACAGGAAUGAUUUCUUAUGA